This 783-nucleotide non-coding RNA is filed under the name Hymenocera picta. The record is from RNAcentral. Lineage: Eukaryota; Metazoa; Arthropoda; Malacostraca; Decapoda; Palaemonidae.
GAAAAGUUUGAUCCUUGCUUUAUUCUCUAAUUUAAGAAUAAAUAUACAUGUAAGUUAAUCUGUAUUAAUUUGUCAAUAAAUUUGUUUUUUAUGUUUCAGUGCAUGGUUUUAGUUAUGUAUUAUAUUAUUAUCUAGUAAUUCUUAUUAUUUCAGGUUAAAUUUGUGCCAGCAGCCGCGGUUAGACAAUGAGUGAAUUUAGAGAUUUUCGGUGUGCAGUUAUAAUGUAGUUUUCUUUUUUAGUUACUUAAAUUUGGUGGUGAAAUAUUUAUAUUGUUGGUAGCAUAAUUUAGUUAUUCUUUUUUAUAGGCUGUGAAAAUUUAGAUAUAAAAUAGGAUUAGAUACCCUAUUAUACUUUAUUAAAAAUUUUGUGCUUGAUUAGUAAUCAGUUAUUUUCUUGAAACUUAGAGGAUUUGGCGGUAUUCAAGUCUAGUUAGAGGAACCUGCUCAGUAAACGAUAUGCCCCGUAAAAUCUUUCUUUAUUUUGUUUCCAGUUUGUAUACCGCCAUUAUUAAGUAGUGUUUAUAGAUAAAUAUUGGGAUAAUAUUUUAGUAUAUUAGGUCAAGGUGCAGCUAAUAGUAAAGUUGAAGUGGGUUACAUUUAGUUUUAUUAAAGUCGGAUUUAAAUUUUAUAAUUUUAUUGAAGUUGGAUUUAAUUGUAAUUUUGUUUUAAUAAGGCAUUAUGAUAGUAGCUCUAGAAUAUGUACACAUCGCCCGUCGCUCUCAUUAGUUAAAGUGAGAUAAGUCGUAACAUAGUAGGUGUAUAGGAAUAUGUACCUAGAAUUAG